This is a long non-coding RNA of Salvelinus fontinalis (brook trout), 6301 nucleotides long. RefSeq lists it as uncharacterized. The record is from RefSeq and is a predicted model, not a curated record. NCBI's taxonomy places the organism in Eukaryota, Metazoa, Chordata, Actinopteri, Salmoniformes, Salmonidae. The transcript has 2 exons.
AUUUGAGUGGUUUUAGAGUCCGCCGUAAAUAAUUGACAUUUGAUAAAAAAAUUGUUUUCAUUUUUCAAACUCGUUCCUUGUUUAGGAUUACACGUUUGAACACGUCAUUGGGCUUGACCAUCCAAUCAGCGUUGUCCAAAUUUUCUCACGGUUCCGUUCAAAAUUCAAAAUAUACAGAGGAAGUGAAAUUAUGCUGCAUUCAGAACAACUGGGAAAUCGAAAAAACACGAGGUUAAAUCAUGGCGUCAGUGAUCUUUAGGUCGUAAAGUCUGAGCUCUAGGGAGAGACCUGAGUUCCCGAAAUUCAUGACCAUUCAAAUCGAUUUUUCCCAGUCGGAACGAUUUUUUUCUCCGAGUUCCCAGGUGUAUUGAACGUACUGAGGUAGGAAGUCUGAGAUUUCCGAGUUUCCAGUUGUUUUGAACGCGACAUGAGCAACCAGCAGGAAAAAGGACAAGACUUAGUGUUAUUGAACUAUGGCAAAACAAAAAUAGUUGUAAAUGAAAUAUAUAGCUAUUUACUAAACAGGGUAAGAUCUCUUUGAUAUAACGUUAGCCUAAUACAAUUUGUAAACCUAGCUUUGUAGUAACGUUAACUAGCUACUAUGGCUAAUAAUGCUAACGUUAGCUAGCUGUUUUAUGUUGUGUAGCUAACUUGCUACUGAAGCUAGCUAGUUAAGUGCUUUUGCAAAAAUGCUAUAAUAUCGGAGAGACCGCAAGGUUUACAAAUAUCCGCUGUCAAAAACCAAAUGCAAGUCUAAAAUCAAGUGGAGAAUGUCUUGCUUUUUUUUUUUACAGUGGACAAAUUGCCUGAUUGAGCUGAUGAGAAGGUAAUAAUCAUUUCAACGUCAUAGGCGAAGGUAUACAUUACAAAGAUCUAUAAAUAACUAACCCAAUAUAGUUAAUCAGUGUCGUUUACAAUGGGAACAAAUGAAGCAAGUAGGUGGGCAAAGUGAAGAACGUGCUAGCGAGAUCCUAUUGGCAUGUAGCAAGUAUUUGCAUAAAUGUCCUGUGACGUGUGUGCACAAACUCAAUUCGACAUUGCACUCCUAAACAAUGCAAUUUAAAACGUUGGCAAAGCUUCAAGUCUAUAAAACCUAUUGCACUGUGUUCGUAACAGAUGCUAUAUUUGGAAACAGAAAUGUAUUGAUCAGAUGUUUCAUCAAUGAGAAAAUUAUCAGAAUGUCUGCCCAGAUUCACCCAAAUUGUGUUCGAAUACUCAUACUAACUGUACUAUUUGUGACUAAAUUGAGUAUGUAGUAUUCUUAUUGGUCAUAGUAUGGAUAUAGUUAGUAAGCCAAAAGUUCCAGGAUGUCAAACUAAAUUUGCCAAAAUACUUUAACACCCAGCGUUGAAUAUGGUGUCAUUAAAUUGUUGCCAGCAGCAGUCUCCAACUUUUUGGAUAACAUGAAAACAGCCUAACCAGCUCUGCUAGGGCGAGCAAAAUGGUCGGAGUGAGGUGUCAUUUGUGUCUGGAAGUAAAAAAAAAAAAAAUGUCUGGAAGUAGCUAGCAAGCUAGCAAACGACGUUAGCCAGUUAGCUAGGGUGCUUGACUGCCGUUGUGAGUCGGAUUAACCCUACUCCUUGGCCAGAGCGUCAUGAACGCUCCGAGAGCAAAACGCUCUGAAUUUACGAACGGAUAAUCUGACAACGCUGAAUUUACGAAUGCCAGAGGGCACUCCAGUUACACUGGACACAUGAAACACUUUUUUUCUGAUAACUAGUUCAUUGCAUCUGCCGUGGAGCCCAGUUUCAUAAUAUGACCAUAUUUCCCAGCUGCUUGCCAUCGUUUUGAAGUAAUCGCAAAAAAACACCUUAAUUUAGGGCAUUUUUCACCCUGCCAACUCCUAUUAGUUCUAGUGAGCACCGUGGCACCAACUCGCCUUCCGAACGUUAUAUUCCCAGUUUAUUGUUCUACGUCACAAUGCCUGCUUCGCUAUUGUUGGCAAUGAGACCUGCUCACAUUGUUUAUAGUUCAAAUGUGAACAACAACAAAAAAUUACUCAUGGAACUCUGAGGUCGUUCCAUUGUUUCCUGUAGGGGAAAUAUAGGCAUGUCUGUCUAUUUCGCCAAAUAUCUCGCAAUGUGUAUAUUUCGAUUUUUUUCAAGUCAGACGUCAUUUUAAUCACGAGACUCUCCUCUUUCUAAUUAUGUAAGUCUGGGCAGCGAGCUUGGAUGUCAUCAAAUGCUAGCCCCAAAAUACUUUUUGCCCUUGGAACACUGAGCUCCCCCCAUUGUUUUCCUAUGGAUAUUUCGCCAAAUGUCUCACAAUGUGUAUAUUUAGAUUUUUUUUCAAGUCGGGCACCAUUUUAUUCUGGAGAAUUUCCUCUGUUAUGUUAGACUGGGCAGCGAGCUCAUUUGUCAUCGAUCACUAGACCAGAAAUAGUCAGUGUUCAUUUUUCCCUACUUUCUCAUUACACAGAUAUACGCACAGUUGACACCAUCGAGGUGCGGAUGUUUACUUCUACACAAGUCGUUUUUUCCCAGUUUCGUCCGGCUAACAGAUUGUAAUUGUAAAAUAAAAAGGGAUACAUUUUUUGGUGCCAUUUAGGCAAAAUGGAAUUCUAAGCAUCACUCUAGUCAAAACAGGCUCUGCGAAAAUUUGAUUCCAUUAAUUUGCUAUGGCCUCAUGCUAGUGUUCCAGCUUAGCCAACGUCCUUUUGCUGUUUUUUAGCCUUGCGUGAAUUUUGACUCAUUCUAUUGUCCAGCCUACUCCAGAUUGAAUUUACGAACACACCCGAAGUCAGAAAAUGUAUAGCAAGACUGAAGUUGCAUAGCAACAGCAUCAACUUCCGGCAGACAGGCGAAGCGCUAGUACACUCAACUGAAAGGAUAAUGUUUGUUUACAGUAUACUAAAAUGAAUUUAUAGUAUGUAGUGUAUAUACUCAUUAAGUAUGUAGUAUACAGUGUUACUAUGGGUAUUCGAACACAGCUCUAGUUCCAUCCUCUCACACUACCCCCAACUGGACUUCCUCUCACUACCAUAUUUGGGUGUGAGAAAACGUUCCAAGGGAUGCUUCAGCUUUAUAGCCCAUGUGACUUGUCUGGGUUACCUUUUCUGUCUGUGUCAUAGCCUUAACUGGUGGUAACUUGUGGAAUAGACACUGACUGGAAUGCAGUUUUAACCAAUCAGCAUCCAGAAUUAAACCCACCCAUUGUAUAAUGCGUGACACCUUGCUUGCUACUUGCUUUGUAAAGCAUUACAAGUUGUCCAAGAUGUCAUUGAGUGGCUUUACAUUGUUUGUGUUUGUCUGAACAUCAGACUGUUAGCAUAGUUACCAGCUGGCAUGUCUUCACUGACAUUUUCUACCUCUUCCUGACCCAGUGUGUAAUACCCGCAUGUUUCAAGCAGACAGCCGUAGUCCCUGUGCCCAAGAACACCAAAGUAACCUGUCUAAAUGACUGUCGCCCAUAGCACUCACAUCUGUAGCCAUGAAAUGCUUUGAAAGGAUGGUCAUGGCACACAUCAACACCAUAUAUCCUGGGCCCACUCCAAUUCGCAUUCCGCCCCAACAAAUCAAAAUCAAACUUUAUUUGUCACGUGCCGAAUACAGCAAGUGUAGACCUUAUAGGGAAAUGCUUACUUACAAGCCCUUAACCAACAGUGCAGUUCAAGAAGAGUUAAGAAAAUAUUUACAAAAUAAACUAAAGUAAAAAAUUAUAAAAAGUAACACUAACAUAACAAUAACGAGGCUAUAUACAGGGGGUACCGGUACCGAGUCAGUGUGCGGGGGUACAGGUUAGAGGUCAUUUGUACAUGUAGGUAGGGGUGAAGUGACUAUGCGUAGAUAAUAAACAGUGAGUAGCAGCAGUGUACAAAACAAAUGGAAGGGGGGGUCAAUGUAAUAGUCUGGUGGCCAUUUGAUUAAUUGUUCAGCAGUCUUAUAAGCCAUAAGAAGCUGUUGUGUUGUGAGCAAACUUAAUGAUGGUGUUGGAGUCGUGUUUGGCCGCGCAGUCGUGUGUGAACAGGGAGUACAGGAGGGGACUAAGUACACACCCCUGAGGGGCCCCUGUGUUGAGGAUCAGCGUGGCAGACGUGUUGUUGCCUACCCUUACCAGGAUCCAGUUGCAGAGGGAGGUGUUUAGUCCCAGGGUACUUAGCUUAGGAUGAGCUUCGUGGGCACUAUGGUGUUGAACGCUGAGCUAUAGUCAAUAAACAUCAUUCUCACAUAGGUGUUCCUUUUGUGUGGAGUGCGAUUGAGAUUGCGUCAUCUGUGGAUCUGUUGAGGCAGUAUGCGAAUUGGAGUGGGUCUAGGGUAUCUGGGAGGAUGCUGUUGAUGUGAGCCAUUGCCAGCCUUUCAAAGCACUUCAUGGCUUCCGACGUGAGUGCUAUGGGGCGGUAAUCAUUUAGGCAGGUUAACUUCACUGCCUUGGGCACAAGGAUUAUGGUGGUCUGCUUGAAACAUGUAGGUAUUACAGACUCAAUCAGGGAGAGGUUGAAAAUGUCAGUGAAUACACUUGCCAGCUGGUCUGCGCAUGGUUUGAAUACACGUCCUGGUAAUCCAUCUGGCCCCGUGGCUUCGUGAAUGUUGACCUGUUCAAAGGUCUUGCUCACAUCGGCUACCGAGAGUGUUAUCACACAGUCAUCUGGAACAGCUGGUGCUCUCGUGCAUGCUUCAGUGUUGCUUGCCUCAAAGCGAGCAUAAAAGGCAUUUAGCUCGUCUGGUAGGCUUGCAUCACUGGGCAGCUCACGUCUGGGUUUCCCUUUGUAGACCGUAAUAGAUUUCAAGCCCUGCCACAUCCGACAAGCGUCAGAGCCGGUGUAGUAGGAUUCAAUCUUAAUCCUGUAUUGACGCUUUGCUUGUUUGAUGGUUCGUCUGAGGGAGUAGCGUAAUUCCAUAUAGGCGCCCAGAUUAGUGUCCCCCUCAGGCGAGCAAUACCUCGAGCCUUCUUAAAUAUUAGACAUCGCGCACCAGCUGUUAUUGACAAAAAGACACACACUCCCACCCCUCGUCUUACCAGACAUAGCUUAUCUGUUAUGCCGGUCCAUUGAGAAUCCCUCCAGCUCUAUGUUAUCCGUGUCGUCGUUCAGCCACGACUCGGUGAAACAUAAGAUAUUACAGUUCUUAAUGUCAUUUUCGUAGGAUAAUUGUAGGUCAUCAAUUUUAUUUUCCAAUGAUUGCAUGUUAGCAAGUAGAAUUGAUGGCAGUGGGAGUUUACCCGCUCGCCUACUGAUUCUGAAAAGGAAGCCCGAUCUGCGUCCUCUUCACGUAAAUGAUGGGGAUCUGGGCCUGUUCCCGGGAGAGCAGUAUAUCCUUCUCGUCGCACUCGUUAAAGGAAAAAGCUUCUUCCAGUUCGUGUUGUGUUCUUAAGGUUUUAGUUAUUUGUUCUGGCACCUUCCUCCAGGACACUGUAAGAUCAACCCAGCAGUGAAUUCGGUGUUGUCUGCACAAAAUCCCUGCAGGGAUGAGACUCCUCUGAAGUGACUGCAGCAACAGCAACAUCAGCAGCAGGAAGAGGGGAAAGCUCAGAAGCAGAGCAUGUAUUGCAAGGACCUGUUGCUCAGUGUCGCCUCCGAGUUCUGCUUUUAGGAACUGAGGGCAGAAAGCUACCACCAGAAGAAGGCCUUGGAGUCGGGGCAGUGUCAAGGAAGAGCAAGGUGGCUCUGGUCUUCCAAACUGACACCUUUCCACCUGGACAUUGACAUGACAUUUCCAUGUUCAGAUUGUUUUGUAUAUAGAAGGUAGCAGACUGUCAGUAUCAUCAGUUAUGUCUUUGUUGUCUUUCGUCAUGUAUGUAUUUUACUGUUUGUGAUGUGUAUAUAUAAACUGCAGUUGGUACGACAUAGGUCUCACCAGUCAUAGCCAUAGAUCACUAUCUAGGCUCUGGGCCACACAGUAUCCCAGAGGGAAAAAUCAUCUAAUGUAAUUGGAUUGAAAAGAGUUGUGUGAGAAAAUGGUGCUAUGAUUUGAGAACUGAAAUACUGGUGGUUGUUGUUACUGCAUAUCCUUGGAUAUUCUGCAAUAAUUGGCAGUUGAGACUGUUCUGUAUUUUUUUUUUUUUUCAUGGCAAUUCACUACAAAACUGUAUUCUACAUUUUACAUUCAUUCCACUAAUCCAUUAUGUUUGGAAAAGGGCUUUAGAUAACAUGCCAUGUUCCGUCUGGUUCCUCUCUCCAUUAUUUCUUUGUCUUCUUCACGUUACCUCUUAGGAAUUAAACUUUCAGUACACCACGUGGUGAAGGCAGGGUGUACUUGUCCAUGACAAGGCUCAAUUCACAUUAUAGCUGUCACUGCUGUAUAUAUUGGUAAAAAUGUCCCCCCAAGGCCAUGUGGUGAUAGUGUUAAAUAAAUGUGAAAUAAUG